RNAcentral lists this ribosomal RNA (492 nucleotides) under uncultured bacterium. RNAcentral's name for it is "partial 16S ribosomal RNA". It matches the Rfam family "Bacterial small subunit ribosomal RNA", at positions 29 to 507 of the family's 1533-position model. The record is from RNAcentral.
AGUGAACGCUGGCGGUAGGCCUAACACAUGCAAGUCGAACGGCAGCACAGUAAGAGCUUGCUCUUACGGGUGGCGAGUGGCGGACGGGUGAGGAAUACAUCGGAAUCUACUUUUUCGUGGGGGAUAACGUAGGGAAACUUACGCUAAUACCGCAUACGACCUACGGGUGAAAGCAGUGGAUCUUCGGACCUUGCGCGAUUGAAUGAGCCGAUGUCGGAUUAGCUAGUUGGCGGGGUAAAGGCCCACCAAGGCGACGAUCCGUAGCUGGUCUGAGAGGAUGAUCGGCGACACUGGAACGUAGACACGGUCCAGACUCCUACGGGAGGCAGCAGUGGGGAAUAGUGGGCAAUGGGCGCAAGUCUGAUCCAGCCAUACCGCGUGGGUGAAGAAGGCGUUCGGGUUGUAAAGCCCUUUUGUUGGGAAAGAAAAGCAGCAGGUUAAUACCCCGCUGUUCUGACGGUACCCAAAGAAUAAGCACCGGCUAACUACGUG